GGCAGGAUUGUCCACUCUGAGCUCUGCUGUCGAGCAGGUCCUCCGUCUCCAGCCUCUCCUCUGCUCCUCUUCCUCCUCGGGUUCUUUUGAAAUCCUGUGGGGAAGGAAAAGACAACAAAACAAAGGAAUACAUUAUUUUUUUAAAGACUGAAUUGUGCACUGAGAGGAAAAAAACGACGACAUUUUUGCUUAUUUUCUUAAACAAAAUUAGAAUCACACUUUUUACAUAAUAGGCUUGUCUUACACAUUCAAGUAUAGUUAAUUAAUGGGGAAAAGUGAUUUUUGUGUGUCAUGGUAAAAUAAAAUGUAAUAUUU
Long non-coding RNA from Xiphophorus hellerii (green swordtail), 315 nucleotides. RefSeq lists it as uncharacterized. The record is from RefSeq and is a predicted model, not a curated record. NCBI's taxonomy places the organism in Eukaryota, Metazoa, Chordata, Actinopteri, Cyprinodontiformes, Poeciliidae. The transcript has 2 exons.